UACAGAGGUCUCAAGCGUUGUUCGGAUUCAUUGGGCGUAAAGGGUGCGUAGGCGGCGCGGUAAGUCGGGUGUGAAAUCUCGGGGCUUAACUCCGAAACUGCAUUCGAUACUGCCGUGCUUGAGGACUGGAGAGGAGACUGGAAUUUACGGUGUAGCGGUGAAAUGCGUAGAUAUCGUAAGGAAGACCAGUGGCGAAGGCGGGUCACUGGCCCGGUACUGACGCUGAGGUGCGAAAGCGUGGGGAGCAAACAGG
This 253-nucleotide ribosomal RNA is filed under the name uncultured bacterium. RNAcentral describes it as "partial 16S ribosomal RNA". It matches the Rfam family "Bacterial small subunit ribosomal RNA", at positions 524 to 776 of the family's 1533-position model. The record is from RNAcentral.